Molecule: long non-coding RNA, 611 nt
Organism: Helianthus annuus (common sunflower)
Lineage: Eukaryota; Viridiplantae; Streptophyta; Magnoliopsida; Asterales; Asteraceae
Exons: 3
Source: RefSeq, a predicted model, not a curated record
GAUGGCAGUCGAUCAGUCAUUGCCUUUUCCCCAAUUUUUCAUCAUUUUCUCCCAAAUUUGCCCCCAGUUCAAUGUUUGUCGCCUACAUGACGCCUGGACAUUGAAGGAUGGAAUCAAAAGGUUAUGGUGUUCAAUGCUUCACCGGUUCGACUUCUCCGCAAUCAUUAUAGUCGGUUUACACACACAAAUGCCGUCUGAUCACAACCCAACCCUACUGCAUAUAAAUCCCAAAUCAAUCGAUCAAUUCUCCAAAUUAGGGCAUUCAAAUCUCAGAUCUAAAGGUUUAGAACGCAUAUGUGGUGUGCUGGAAGAAAGCUAAGCUUCACAUUCUUAAAAAUAUAUCUGGAAUUAUCAAACCAGCAAGGAUGACACUUUUGUUGGGGCCACCAUCUUCUGGUAAGACAACACUUCUGUUGGCUUUGGCGGGAAGAUUGGAUCCGAGCUUAAAAGUUGAAGGGGAGAUAAGUUACAACGGUCAUAAACUCAAUGAGUUUGAGCCUCGAAGGACAGCGGCUUACAUCAGUCAGAACUAUAUUCAUGCUGGAGAAAUGACUGUUAAGGAGACCUGUUGGAUUAUUCGGGUUUGUUUACGGGUCAUGGGUCGAUGCGUU